AGUCUGCAACUCGACUCCAUGAAGUCGGAAUCGCUAGUAAUCGUGGAUCAGAAUGCCACGGUGAAUACGUUCCCGGGCCUUGUACACACCGCCCGUCACACCAUGGGAGUGGGUUGCAAAAGAAGUAGGUAGCUUAACCUUCGGGAGGGCGCUUACCACUUUGUGAUUCA
This 170-nucleotide ribosomal RNA is filed under the name uncultured bacterium. Its description in RNAcentral is "partial 16S ribosomal RNA". It matches the Rfam family "Bacterial small subunit ribosomal RNA", at positions 1302 to 1471 of the family's 1533-position model. The record is from RNAcentral.